This 253-nucleotide ribosomal RNA is filed under the name uncultured bacterium. Its description in RNAcentral is "partial 16S ribosomal RNA". It matches the Rfam family "Bacterial small subunit ribosomal RNA", at positions 524 to 776 of the family's 1533-position model. The record is from RNAcentral.
UACGUAGGGUGCAAGCGUUAAUCGGAAUUACUGGGCGUAAAGCGUGCGCAGGCGGUUUUGUAAGUCUGUCGUGAAAGCCCCGGGCUCAACCUGGGAAUUGCAUUCGAGACUGAAUAGCUAGGGUACGGUAGAGGGAAGUGGAAUUUCCGGUGUAGCGGUGAAAUGCGUAGAUAUCGGAAGGAACAUCAGUGGCGAAAGCGACUUCCUGGACCGGUACUGACGCUGAGGCGCGAAAGCGUGGGGAGCAAACGGG